UAAGGAAUAUUGGGCAAUGGACGCAAGUCUGACCCAGCCAUGCCGCGUGGAGGAUGAAGGUCCUCUGGAUUGUAAACUUCUUUUAUCUGGGAAGAAAUCCAUAUUUUCUAAUGUGGUUGACGGUACCAGAUGAAUAAGCACCGGCUAACUCCGUGCCAGCAGCCGCGGUAAUACGGAGGGUGCAAGCGUUAUCCGGAUUCACUGGGUUUAAAGGGUGCGUAGGCGGAUUGGUAAGUCCGUGGUGAAAUCCCCGAGCUUAACUUGGGAACUGCCGUGGAUACUAUCAGUCUUGAAUAUCGUGGAGGUAAGCGGAAUAUGUCAUGUAGCGGUGAAAUGCUUAGAUAUGACAUAGAACACCAAUUGCGUAGGCAGCUUACUACUCGAUCAUUGACGCUGAGGCACGAAAGCGUGGGGAGCAAACAGG
RNAcentral lists this ribosomal RNA (424 nucleotides) under uncultured Parasegetibacter sp. RNAcentral's name for it is "bacterial SSU rRNA". It matches the Rfam family "Bacterial small subunit ribosomal RNA", at positions 355 to 776 of the family's 1533-position model. The record is from RNAcentral. Lineage: Bacteria; Pseudomonadati; Bacteroidota; Chitinophagia; Chitinophagales; Chitinophagaceae.